UGGGGAAUAUUGCACAAUGGAGGCAACUCUGAUGCAGCGACGCCGCGUGAGCGAAGAAGUAUUUCGGUAUGUAAAGCUCUAUCAGUAGGGAAGAUAAUGACGGUACCUACAGAAGAAGCCCCGGCUAAAUACGUGCCAGCAGCCGCGGUAAUACGUAUGGGGCAAGCGUUAUCCGGAUUUACUGGGUGUAAAGGGAGUGUAGGCGGCAGUACAAGUCAGGAGUGAAAACUUGGGGCUCAACCCCAAGACUGCUUUUGAAACUGUACAGCUAGAGUGUAGGAAGGGCAAGCGGAAUUCCUGGUGUAGCGGUGAAAUGCGUAGAUAUCAGGAAGAACACCGGUGGCGAAGGCGGCUUGCUGGACUAUAACUGACGCUGAGACUCGAAAGCGUGGGGAGCGAACAGG
This 404-nucleotide ribosomal RNA is filed under the name uncultured bacterium. RNAcentral describes it as "bacterial SSU rRNA". It matches the Rfam family "Bacterial small subunit ribosomal RNA", at positions 355 to 776 of the family's 1533-position model. The record is from RNAcentral.